GCCGGGGUGGCGGAACUGGCAGACGCGGGGGACUUAAAAUCCCCUGGGAAAUCCCCGUGCGGGUUCGAAUCCCGCCCUCGGCA
Molecule: transfer RNA, 83 nt
Filed under: Candidatus Acetothermia bacterium
Lineage: Bacteria; Candidatus Bipolaricaulota
Also listed under: 1 other name
Description: tRNA-Leu
Rfam family: tRNA
About the family: Transfer RNA (tRNA) molecules are approximately 80 nucleotides in length. Their secondary structure includes four short double-helical elements and three loops (D, anti-codon, and T loops).
Source: RNAcentral